Molecule: ribosomal RNA, 510 nt
Filed under: uncultured bacterium
Lineage: Bacteria
Description: bacterial SSU rRNA
Rfam family: Bacterial small subunit ribosomal RNA
Source: RNAcentral
AACGAACGCUGGCGGCGUGCUUAACACAUGCAAGUCGAACGCGAAAGGGACUUCGGUCCUGAGUAAAGUGGCGCACGGGUGAGUAACGCGUAGAUAACCUGUCUUCAUGUCUGGAAUAAUACGCCGAAAGGGGUACUAAUACCGGAUAUUCUUGCUUUUCAUAAGUUAUGCAAGCAAAGGUGGCCUCUGCAUAUGCUACUGCAUGAAGAGGGGUCUGCGUACCAUUAGCUAGUAGGUGGGGUAAUGGCCUACCUAGGCGACGAUGGUUAGCGGGUCUGAGAGGAUGAUCCGCCACACUGGCACUGGAACACGGGCCAGACUCCUACGGGAGGCAGCAGUGAGGAAUAUUGCGCAAUGGGGGAAACCCUGACGCAGCGACGCCGCGUGAGUGAGGAAGGCCUUCGGGUCGUAAAGCUCUGUCAAGAGGAAAGAAGUGUACAAUGGCUAAUACCCGUUGUAUUUGACGGUACCUCUAAAGGAAGCACCGGCUAACUCCGUGCCAGCCGCUGC